Salvelinus fontinalis (brook trout) is the source of this 1194-nucleotide long non-coding RNA. RefSeq lists it as uncharacterized. The record is from RefSeq and is a predicted model, not a curated record. The transcript is spliced from 2 exons. Lineage: Eukaryota; Metazoa; Chordata; Actinopteri; Salmoniformes; Salmonidae.
UUCCAGCAAAUAUUGAAAGAAUAAAGGGUCUCAAUGAAAGAUGUGCAGUGUCACAUGUUUAGUGUGAAUUGUCACAUGACCAGAGCUGUUUACUUCCUGGUUGCACCAUGAGAAGAGGAUGACUGCAUCAAAGCUCUCAAACAAAAGAACCUGAGCCCUAGGACCAUACGUCAGGACUACCGGGCAUGCUGACACCUUGCUGUCCCCAGUCCGCCCGGCCUUGCUGCUAUUCCAGUUUCAACUGUUUCUGCCUGUGGUUACGAAACCCCUACCUGUCCCAGACCUGCUGUUUUCAACUCUUAAUGAUCGGCUAUGAAAAGCCAACUGAGAUUUAUUCCUGAUUAUUAUUUGACCAUGCUUGUCAUUUAUGAACAUUUUGAAAAUCUUGGCUCUCUCUAAUUUUCUCCUUCUCUCUUUCUCUCGGAGGACCUGAGCCCUAGGACCAUACGUCGGGACUACCGGCCGUGGUGACUCCUUGCUGCCCCCAGUCCGCCUGGCCUUGCUGCUAUUCCAGUUUCAACUCUUCUGCCUGCGGUUAUGGAACCCCUACCUGUCCCAGACCUGCUGUUUUCAACUCUUAAUGAUCGGCUAUGAAAAGCCAACUGAGAUUUAUUCCUGAUUAUUAUUUGACCAUGCUUGUCAUUUAUGAACAUUUUGAAAAUCUUGGCUCUCUCUAAUUUUCUCCUUCUCUCUUUCUUUCUCUCGGAGGACCUGGGCCCUAGGACCAUGCGUCGGGACUGCCGCCCGUGGUGACUCCUUGCUGUCCCCAGUCCGCCUGGCCUUGCUGCUAUUCCAGUUUCAGCUGUUCUGCCUGCGGUUAUGGAACCGCCACCUGUCCCAGACCUGUUGUUUUUCAACUCUUAAUGAUCAGCUAUGAAAAGCCAACUGAAAAUUAUUCAUGAUUAUUAUUUGACCAUGCUUGUCACUUAUGAACAUUUUUGAACAUCUUGGCAUAGUUCUGUUAUAAUCUCCACCCGGCACAGCCAGAAGAGGACUGGCCACCCCUCAUAGCCUGGUUCCUCUCUAGGUUUCUUCCUAGGUUUUGGCCUUUCUAGGGAGUUUUUCCUAGCCACCGUGCUUCUACACCUGCAUUCUAGCUGUUUGGGGUUUUAGGCUGGGUUUCUGUACAGCACUUCGAGAUAUUAUCUGAUGUACGAAGGGCUAUAUAAAAUAAAAUUGAUUGAUUGAUGUGUA